Molecule: unclassified non-coding RNA, 371 nt
Filed under: Hevea brasiliensis (rubber tree)
Lineage: Eukaryota; Viridiplantae; Streptophyta; Magnoliopsida; Malpighiales; Euphorbiaceae
Source: RNAcentral
UGACCACUCUAGAGAAUUGCACCUAUGAGCUACCACUUAAACCCAAGAACAAUGGCCAAUAAACUAUGAAUAUAUCCCUUUUUCUUUCUAACAGAUAAGAAAUGGAAGAAAGCACCGUUAUUGAUGUGUUCAAUUGGGUGAAAAUUUUGAAUUAGAUUAUGCUACUUAAAUUGGAUAGUGCUUUUCACAGCAGUCCAAGGGGUUGUACAGACAGAAAAUUUAUACACAUAUUUAAAAGAAACAGGGAACUUAAAGCCCUCAUGGGAACCACCGUGCAUUAUUAUACUUGAAAGUAGCAUUUCAUUGCAAAGCCAUCUGAGACAAAAUCAUGAAUAAGUACAAAAUGUAAACCAAGGAACAGCAAGAAGUAC